This 774-nucleotide ribosomal RNA is filed under the name uncultured Neocallimastigales. RNAcentral describes it as "partial large subunit ribosomal RNA". It matches the Rfam family "Eukaryotic large subunit ribosomal RNA", at positions 24 to 644 of the family's 3401-position model. Lineage: Eukaryota; Fungi; Neocallimastigomycota; Neocallimastigomycetes; Neocallimastigales. The record is from RNAcentral.
GUAGUCUCGCACAGAUGCAUAUCAAUAAGCGGAGGAAAAGAAACUAACAAGGAUUCCCCUAGUAACGGCGAGUGAAGCGGGAAGAGCUCAAAUUUGAAAUCUUAAAGGGUUUCCCUUUACGAAUUGUAGUUUAAAGAAGUGUUUUCUGUUGAGGUUUUGGUAAAAGUUCUUUGGAAUAGGACAUCAUAGAGGGUGAGAAUCCCGUAUUUGACCUUUACUUUCAACUUUGUGAUACACUUUCAAAGAGUCGGAUUGUUUGGGAAUGCAGUCCAAAAUGGGUGGUAAAUUUCAUCUAAAGCUAAAUAUUGGCGAGAGACCGAUAGCGAACAAGUACCGUGAGGGAAAGAUGAAAAGAACUUUGAAAAGAGAGUUAAACAGUACGUGAAAUUGUCAAAAGGGAAGCGUUUGACACCAGUGUUGUUUUUCUGAAAAUCAAUUAAAGAACUGUUUAUGCUAAGCUGUUUAGACUUUAUCAGCUAACUGUUUAGUUUUGAGCUUUUCUUUAAUGCACUUUUCAGUUAACAAGUCAACAUCAAUUUCUUUUGCUGUAAAAAAGCUUGAGGAAGGUGGCUUGAGAUUCGUCUUAAGUGUUUAUAGCCUCUUGCCUAUGCAGUCGGAGAGAUUGAGGUCUGCAGCGUAGAUCCUUCGGGGCUAAGUGCAUUUGUGCUAAGUUAUAGCAUUUUAUAGACAACUUGUUGACUAUGAUUUGUCUUGUAGCUUACUCGCUUAUGUUAUUUUACCUACGCUUAGGAUGUUGAACUACUGAGACAUAGA